GCGGAUAUGGCGGAAUUGGCAGACGCGCUAGAUUCAGGUUCUAGUGAGCACUUAUCGCUCAUGCAAGUUCAAGUCUUGUUAUCCGCA
RNAcentral lists this transfer RNA (87 nucleotides) under Lachnospiraceae bacterium. RNAcentral's name for it is "tRNA-Leu". It matches the Rfam family "tRNA". From Rfam's summary of the family: Transfer RNA (tRNA) molecules are approximately 80 nucleotides in length. Their secondary structure includes four short double-helical elements and three loops (D, anti-codon, and T loops). The record is from RNAcentral. Lineage: Bacteria; Bacillati; Bacillota; Clostridia; Lachnospirales; Lachnospiraceae. RNAcentral also lists the same sequence under 1 other name.